This is a non-coding RNA of Pan troglodytes (chimpanzee), 312 nucleotides long. It matches the Rfam family "Metazoan signal recognition particle RNA". Rfam says of the family: The signal recognition particle (SRP) is a universally conserved ribonucleoprotein. The record is from Rfam. Lineage: Eukaryota; Metazoa; Chordata; Mammalia; Primates; Hominidae.
GCUGUGCAUGGUGGUGUAUACCUGUAGUCCCAGCUAUUUGGGAGGUUGAGGUAGGAGGAUCGCUUGAGCUCAGGAGUUAUGAGCUAUGGUGCAUUAUGCUGAUCAGGUGUCUGAACUAAGUUCAGCAUAAUAUGGUGACCUCCCAGGAGCAGGGUGGCAGAGGGGGGGCCCACCAGGUUGCCUAAGGAAGGGCAAACAGGCCCAGUUCAGAAAUGGAGCAGGUCAAAACUCCCAUGCCGAUCAGUAGUGAGAUGGUGCCUGUAAACAGCCACUGCACUCCAGCCUGGGCAACACAGUGAAACCUUAUCACUU